Molecule: ribosomal RNA, 253 nt
Filed under: uncultured bacterium
Lineage: Bacteria
Description: partial 16S ribosomal RNA
Rfam family: Bacterial small subunit ribosomal RNA
Source: RNAcentral
GACGAGUGGUCCAAGCGUUAUCCGGAAUUACUGGGCGUAAAGGGUGUGUAGGUGGUUUGAUUAGGCGGUCGUUAAAGCUCUCGGCUUAACCGGGAAAAUGCGAUCGAAACGGUCAAACUAGAGAGGACCAGAGGCUAGUGGAACUCAUGGUGUAGGGGUGAAAUCCGUUGAUAUCAUGGGGAACGCCAAAAGCGAAAGCAGCUAGCUGGGGUGCAUCUGACACUCAAACACGAAAGCGUGGGUAGCGAACGGG